Juglans regia (Persian walnut) is the source of this 2750-nucleotide long non-coding RNA. RefSeq lists it as uncharacterized. The transcript is spliced from 3 exons. The record is from RefSeq and is a predicted model, not a curated record. NCBI's taxonomy places the organism in Eukaryota, Viridiplantae, Streptophyta, Magnoliopsida, Fagales, Juglandaceae.
AGCCAAGUUCUUCAAUUGUAGACCCAAUAUCUUCUGGUAGUACGCAAGGAGUAAGGCCUUGUGCCUCUCCUUCAUGUACUUGGCUAUGGUGUAUGGCUUGGACCCAUUUUUCUCCUUCAUGACAGAGCCUCCAUCAUCCGAUACUUGGUUUUUACUUGCUGAUUUGGGGUAUUUUUGUUCUGUGGUCCGACGCUUGACCAUCUAGGAUUCAAACCAGUCGCCCAUACUCUUCUUGCUCUGCAGCUUCCUGUAUUUUAACAAACGGUUGAUCAUUGGUAAAACUUUAUUCUCUACCUCUUCUCGAUUGAUUGGAUUCUAGCUUCUUUUCCUGAAGUGAUUUUGAAUGUCAAGAGUUGUAAAAUAUAGUGGUGUCAGACAAAUGCCAAUGACCAAGUUGCAUGCUCGACUGAAGCAGCCUUAUGCUUUCUGGCGUGCGAUUUAAAAAUAUGCUGCAGCUUGAGUCUAUUUUCUGCUGUUGAUUAUUCUCGCUACGGUUUUAAAAUCAUAACAUCAUGAGGUUGCUCAACCAAGGCUGACUUUGGAUAGAUGUUCAAAGAGAUUCGAUCUUUUUAUUUGGAAACUCAGAUUCAGGAGACAAUGAACUCUUGCCCAGAUAACCUCUCCUCUCCUUGCAAGAAGAUGGUGAAGGAUGAGGUCAAGGUUCCAGAGUCGAUUGAGGAGACGAUGAACUCUUGACCAUAUGAUCUCCUCCCCUUACAAAAAGAAGGUGAAGGAUGGGGCAUCAUGCAUGGUUCCGGAGUCGGCAGGUAAACAUGUAAAGAAAAGUCUGGCUGAGGGUAAUAGUGUUAGAAGCCAGAGUAAAUAUUCUUCCUUCAUCUAUUUUGAUGAAACUUUUGAAGAAAGAAGAUGAAAAACUGCCUCAAAAUUGGAAUUAGAAUUUUUUUAUUUCAAAUAAGCUCCUAAACAGAUGGACUAAUGGCAACCAAGAAAGAAUGUGGAAAGCUUAUGAAAAAAUGGAAUUGUCUUUGAUCCUUAGAACAAAUGGCAUCCCAAAUAUGACUCCUGGACCCCUAAGAUUAAUGGACUACAACCCAUAGAUUACUGAAUAGACCAUGAAGUUCUGUACCUUUUGGAAGAAGAAACCAUAUAACCGAUUAAAGGAAAAGGAAAAGAACAUGAUUGAACUCGGGCAGUGAUGAAAUAUAAAUGUAGCUAAUAGUUAUUGAUUUGCUUUAUUGAUACUUUCAUUAAAUUGAAUACGAUUUUACUGAUAAUUAAUGAUUGUCUACAAUCAAUGUCUGCAAAACUUUUGUUCCAGAGUUGGAGUUUCUUAUUAUGAUUUCAGCAUCCGCCAACUUCAUCUGCUUGAAGUUUGAGAAGGUGGCAGUGCCGAAUUUCCUUUGGUUGAUAUAUGGUAUGAGUUUUAAGUUUCUUUGUUAGGAAUGGAUUCUAUUUCUUUCAGUCCCAUUCUUUUGGUACUUGUCUUUGAUAAUUGAAAUAAAAGAGCUUUGUUUUUGUCUCUUGUGGCUCACAUUAUUUUUUUUGCAUCCAUGUAAUCUUUACUCAAUUUCUUUGUUUGAAUUUGUUUUAACAAUAGACUUCAUAUGCCUUCUUUUAUUCUGUAAUCUUGGCUGCAUCAUUUGCAACCUAGAGGUAUGCUACUCAUCUCUUGGCUGAUUUAUAAACCUUGCUUGGGGGCCUCGUUUACCCUUUGGAGUGAUGCAGAUGAAACAUCUGACGCUCCUGCUGUGAAGCUUGUGAAAGUUCAAUUUUCAGCUAUGAGCAACCCAUGUCACAGGUAUGGAAGUAACCAUAGGCAAAAUGUUUGCUGUUGUUCUUGGAGAUAUCAACUUGGCUCAAUUUAAUGAGUCAAAUAGAUUUUCUGAGCAUCUACAGACUGUCCCUGUUUAAAAUCUCCGAAGUAAAUUGAUUUGUAUUGUUUUUAAAUUUGGCAGAGGUGCUGUUGCAUAUUCUUUCUUCUUGCUUAAUCUUUCAACUACUUCUAAACUUCAUAUUGAUGCGUCAUACGCAAACUCAUAUAGAUGAAAUUUGACAGUUCUUUAUAGUUUUCGCUUUUCUGAACCAGAAACAGUCUUUGUUAUAACUGGACAUAUCCUAUUAGUGGUAUUCUAUGUCUUACAGUACGUAAAACACACUUCACUGUAAUUUCUAGACUUCAGUUCAAAUUAUCUAAUUUACGUUGAGCAGAUACUCUACCAUAUUAUUUUAUCUUUACUUGUUGCCUCUAUGGUAGCUUAGCCACAAAUUGAAGUAGUGUCUAGCCUGGAAAUCAGCAAGAAGCAAUUACAGGGAACCUCUCCAAGGCCGGGCCUUGCCUUCGGACAAAAUUUUAAUGUUUAUUACCAAACAAAUGAGUUACAAAUUUACUUGGUUUAUGAGUUUUUGGUUUCUCAAGCUGCAGUAAGCUAUGAAAGACGAAGAUGAAUUUUGAUGCAUCUCUUAUUUCCUUUUUAAGAUUAGGUGUAUUAGCCUAUGCCUCUUGGAGUCUUCCCUAUUGGGUGCAUCCUAUUGGCUGCUUUUAGGAUAACUAGUGCUUAUCGUGGAGACAAAAAAGGUGAAAAUUUUAAUAGGUACUUGUAACUCUGGUUGCUGGCCCUAAUAAAUACUUUGAUGUAGUGUGGGUUCAGUUAAUAGGGUAGAGAUGUUGUCAUAAAGGAUGGUUAACCCACAAACACGAGGACAAACCUCCUUGGGAAUAUUUUGAAUUUCUCAAUAUCUAAGUGCGUAUUUAACCUUGGGUAGCACUGGCAUACUUGUAAAUUAAAGAU